GGGGAAUAUUGCACAAUGGGCGAAAGCCUGAUGCAGCAACGCCGCGUGAGUGAAGAAGGUUUUCGGAUUGUAAAGCUCUGUCAUCUGGGACGAUAAUGACGGUACCAGAUGAGGAAGCCACGGCUAACUACGUGCCAGCAGCCGCGGUAAUACGUAGGUGGCAAGCGUUGUCCGGAAUUACUGGGCGUAAAGGGUGCGCAGGCGGACAUUUAAGUGAGAUGUGAAAGACCCGGGCUUAACUUGGGCAGUGCAUUUCAAACUGGAUGUCUGGAGUGCAGGAGAGGAGAACGGAAUUCCUAGUGUAGCGGUGAAAUGCGUAGAGAUUAGGAAGAACACCAGUGGCGAAGGCGGUUCUCUGGACUGUAACUGACGCUGAGGCACGAAAGCGUGGGUAGCAAAC
Molecule: ribosomal RNA, 400 nt
Filed under: uncultured bacterium
Lineage: Bacteria
Description: bacterial SSU rRNA
Rfam family: Bacterial small subunit ribosomal RNA
Source: RNAcentral